This 444-nucleotide ribosomal RNA is filed under the name uncultured bacterium. Its description in RNAcentral is "bacterial SSU rRNA". It matches the Rfam family "Bacterial small subunit ribosomal RNA", at positions 331 to 792 of the family's 1533-position model. The record is from RNAcentral.
CCAGACUCCUACGGGAGGCAGCAGUGGGGAAUAUUGCACAAUGGGGGAAACCCUGAUGCAGCGACGCCGCGUGAGUGAAGAAGUAAUUCGUUAUGUAAAGCUCUAUCAGCAGGGAAGAAAAUGACGGUACCUGAGUAAGAAGCCCCGGCUAACUACGUGCCAGCAGCCGCGGUAAUACGUAGGGGGCAAGCGUUAUCCGGAUUUACUGGGUGUAAAGGGAGCGUAGACGGCAGUGCAGGUCUGGAGUGAAAGCCCGGGGCUCAACCCCGGGACUGCAUUUGGAACUGUAAGGCUAGAGUGUCGGAGAGGCAGGCGGAAUUCCUAGUGUAGCGGUGAAAUACGUAGAUAUUAGGAGGAACACCAGUGGCGAAGGCGGCCUGCUGGACGAUGACUGACGUUGAGGCUCGAAAGCGUGGGGAGCAAACAGGAUUAGAUACCCCAGUA